RNAcentral lists this ribosomal RNA (253 nucleotides) under uncultured bacterium. Its description in RNAcentral is "partial 16S ribosomal RNA". It matches the Rfam family "Bacterial small subunit ribosomal RNA", at positions 524 to 776 of the family's 1533-position model. The record is from RNAcentral.
UACGUAGGGUGCAAGCGUUGUCCGGAAUUAUUGGGCGUAAAGAGCUCGUAGGCGGUUCGUCGCGUCGGCUGUGAAAACCUGAGGCUCAACCUCAGGCCUGCAGUCGAUACGGGCGGACUUGAGUACUGCAGGGGAGACUGGAAUUCCUGGUGUAGCGGUGAAAUGCGCAGAUAUCAGGAGGAACACCGAUGGCGAAGGCAGGUCUCUGGGCCACUACUGACGCUGAGAAGCGAAAGCAUGGGGAGCGAACAGG